This 482-nucleotide ribosomal RNA is filed under the name uncultured bacterium. Its description in RNAcentral is "bacterial SSU rRNA". It matches the Rfam family "Bacterial small subunit ribosomal RNA", at positions 28 to 507 of the family's 1533-position model. The record is from RNAcentral.
GAUGAACGCUAGCUACAGGCUUAACACAUGCAAGUCGAGGGGCAGCGUUAGGUAGCAAUACUGAGAUGGCGACCGGCGCACGGGUGAGUAACGCGUAUCCGACCUACCCAUAACUCGGGCACAGCCGCUCGAAAGAGCGAUUGAUUCCCGAUAUGUCCUUGGAGUAGAUUCAAUGAUGAAAGAUUCAUCGGUUAUGGAUGGGGAUGCGUAAGAUUAGGUAGUAGGCGGGGUAACGGCCCACCUAGCCGACGAUCUUUAGGGGUUCUGAGAGGAAGGUCCCCCACACUGGAACUGAGACACGGUCCAGACUCCUACGGGAGGCAGCAGUGAGGAAUAUUGGUCAAUGGUCGGAAGACUGAACCAGCCAAGUAGCGUGAAGGAUGAAGGUUCUAUGGAUUGUAAACUUCUUUUAUACGGGAAUAAAACACCUUACGUGUAGGGUCUUGUAUGUACCGUAUGAAUAAGCAUCGGCUAACUCCGUG